GGGCCGCCACCGCCGCCGCCGCCGCUGCCCGCGCGUAGCCGGGCCGGCCCAUUUCUCGGCAGGGAGAGCCGGGCCGGCCCAUCGGCGGGGGGGGGGCAGGGGGGAGAGGGAGGGGAGCGCCCCCAACCAGUGCCCGGGGACCCGCGCGGUGGAGGCGCUGUGCCCGCCCCGGGGGUGAGACUUCCGGAACCAGCCGUCAUCUCUAUUGGUUGAUCAGCGAAGCAAGGCCCGCUCCUUUGGCCUUGGGGUUGGCUGAGAGGAGGUCUUCCGGUGACCCACUUCCGUUCUUUGCUGCUGCGGACUCUGGGCGGUCGGGGUCGGUGAAGGAUUCCAAGAUGGCUGGGCGAAAACUUGCUCUAAAAACCAUUGACUGGGUAGCUUUUGGAGAGAUCAUACCUCGAAAC
Molecule: non-coding RNA, 404 nt
Organism: Microcebus murinus (gray mouse lemur)
Lineage: Eukaryota; Metazoa; Chordata; Mammalia; Primates; Cheirogaleidae
Source: RefSeq, a predicted model, not a curated record